ACGCUCGACACCUACGGGAGGCAGCAGUGGGAAUAUUGCACAAUGGGGGAAACCCUGAUGCAGCGACGCCGCGUGAGCGAAGAAGUAUCUCGGUAUGUAAAGCUCUAUCAGCAGGGAAGAAGAUGACGGUACCUGACUAAGAAGCACCGGCUAAAUACGUGCUAGCAGCCGCGGUAAUCUGAGCGGGCUGGCAAGGC
This 197-nucleotide ribosomal RNA is filed under the name uncultured bacterium. RNAcentral's name for it is "partial 16S ribosomal RNA". It matches the Rfam family "Bacterial small subunit ribosomal RNA", at positions 328 to 539 of the family's 1533-position model. The record is from RNAcentral.